GCUUAAAACUCAAAGGACUUGGCGGUGCUUUACAUCCCUCUAGAGGAGCCUGUUCUAUAAUCGAUAAACCCCGAUAUACCUCACCAUCUCUUGCUAAUCCAGCCUAUAUACCGCCAUCUUCAGCAAACCCUAAAAAGGAAGAAAAGUAAGCACAAGUAUCCCAACACAAAAAAGUUAGGUCAAGGUGUA
Molecule: ribosomal RNA, 189 nt
Filed under: Leopardus geoffroyi (Geoffroy's cat)
Lineage: Eukaryota; Metazoa; Chordata; Mammalia; Carnivora; Felidae
Description: partial 12S ribosomal RNA
Source: RNAcentral